RNAcentral lists this ribosomal RNA (543 nucleotides) under Sphingomonas sp. HPC768. Its description in RNAcentral is "bacterial SSU rRNA". It matches the Rfam family "Bacterial small subunit ribosomal RNA", at positions 49 to 637 of the family's 1533-position model. The record is from RNAcentral. Lineage: Bacteria; Pseudomonadati; Pseudomonadota; Alphaproteobacteria; Sphingomonadales; Sphingomonadaceae.
UAUCAUAUGCGAGUCGAACCAAAACUUCCGACUUAGUGGCGCACGGGUGCGUAACGCGUGGGAAUCUACCCUUGGGUACGGAAUAACUCAGAGAAAUUUGUGCUAAUACCGUAUAAUGACUUCGGUCCAAAGAUUUAUCGCCCAAGGAUGAGCCCGCGUAAGAUUAGCUAGUUGGUGGGGUAAAAGCCUACCAAGGCGACGAUCUUUAGCUGGUCUGAGAGGAUGAUCAGCCACACUGGGACUGAGACACGGCCCAGACUCCUACGGGAGGCAGCAGUGGGGAAUAUUGGACAAUGGGCGAAAGCCUGAUCCAGCAAUGCCGCGUGAGUGAUGAAGGCCCUAGGGUUGUAAAGCUCUUUUACCCGGGAUGAUAAUGACAGUACCGGGAGAAUAAGCUCCGGCUAACUCCGUGCCAGCAGCCGCGGUAAUACGGAGGGAGCUAGCGUUUGUUCGGAAUUACUGGGCGUAAAAGCGCGCGUAGGCGGUUUCCAAGUCAGGGGUGAAAGCCCGGGGCUCAACCCCGGAAUAGCCCCUUGAACUGGA